RNAcentral lists this long non-coding RNA (3089 nucleotides) under Podarcis lilfordi (Lilford's wall lizard). Lineage: Eukaryota; Metazoa; Chordata; Lepidosauria; Squamata; Lacertidae. The record is from RNAcentral.
CCCCCACCUGGCCCUGGCCCCUCCUGAGAGGGGAUGCUCCACUGUCAGAACUUGGAGGCACCUGCUGUUCCACCUGCAGCUGGGCUGCAUCUUCUCUCAACAGAUUCAUGUCGGCAUUUCACACCCUUCUUCCUGCAGCCCCAUUUCCAAAGUGAGACCAUCCCCACAUCCUUCAAGGCAGGCCAGAGGUCUCCAUAGCACAGGAUUGGACCAUUUGCCUUGCAUGUAGGUCUUCUGUCCUGGGUGGCAUCUCCGGGGGGGGGGGGCUGCAAAUGUCCCCCCCAUCCAAAACCCCAGAGAGUUGUUGCCAGUCAGUGCAGGCUAGUUGAAGAAGGAUAUUGAGCAGCUGGAAGGUAAGCAGAGGAGGGCAACCAGGAUGAUGAAGGGUCUGGAAGCCAAGCCUGAUGAGGAAUGGUUGAGGCAGUUGGAAACCAAGCCUGAUGAGGAACAGUUGAGGCAGUUGGAUACCAAGCCUCAUGAGGAACGGUUGAGGCAGCUGGGUAUCUUUAGCCUGGAGAAGAGGAGACUGAGAGGAGAGAGGAGAGCCAUAUCUGAUAUCCAAUAUCUGAGGGCUGCAAGAGGGAGCAAGCUUGUUUUCUGCUGCUCCAGAGAGGAGGGCAGGAGAGGAGAUUAGGACUAAACAUUAGGAAGAACUUUCUGAUGGUAAGACUCUCUGGGAUGGUGGUGGACUCUCCUUCCUUGGAGGCUUUUAAGCAGAGGUUGGAUGCCAAUCUGCGAGGGAUUCAGCUGCAAUUUGGGGAGCGCAUAGCACUGGCCUACUUUACAGGGUUGUUGUAACCACACAGGGCUGCUGAGCAUCCAAAAGUGCCUGACAAAUGUUGAGCCUUCCAUUUCAUUGUAGGGAACAGCUGCAGCGCAUCAGGAGGCGUCCCUCAACUUCCGUUUCUUCUCUCUCCUGCAGCCAAAGGGGCCGGGCCGGAUUACCAAAUAGGCAGAGUAGGCACCGGCCUAUGGGCCCCACACUCUUUGGGGUCCCCCAAUGGAUAAAAAUAAUAUUGAUUUGAUCUUGAAAGAAAACAACAACCAAGCUUUGUUAGUUCAAUUUUAUUCCAGCGUAUGCACAAGGCCUACCCCCCACCCAGAUUUUGACCGCCCAGGGGCCUCCACAGGGCUUAAUCCAGCACUGCCCCUUGAACAGCCCAGUAUACCUGAAGGAGCGUCUUCAACCCCAUCGUUCUGCCCGGACACUGAGGUCCAGCUCCGAGGGCCUUCCGGUGGUUCCCUCAUUGCAAGAAGUGAGCUUACUGGGAACCAGGCAGAGGGCCUUCUUGGUGGUGGCGCCCACCCUGUGGAACACCCUCCAGUCAGAUGUCAAGGAAAUAAACAACUAUCUGACUUUUAGAAGACACCUGAAGGCAGAGGCGUAGGAAGGGGUGUGUGGGCUGCCCUGGGUGUCAUCACUGAGGGGGUGACAAAAUGGCAAAAAUAUGUGUUUUUAAAAUAAAUAAAUAAAAAAUUUCCAAGGUAAGGGACGCUGCGCCACGCCACUCCUGCCUGGGCAGCUGCCUCAGAGCAACUGAAGGUGAUGCUGGUGGUGGCACUGCUGCUAUUGCAGGAGGAGGAGGAGGAGGGAAAAGAAGAGGGGGGGGCGAAAGGACGCGGGGCUGUGGCGCACUGCAUGCCUGCCUCUCCUCGCGCUCCUGCUCUGGCCUCGGCUGGUGUGAGGGGAGAACCUAUAAAGGGGGCUGCCGGCGGGGAGCGCCGCCUAUGCAAAGAGCACCAGUGACACGCAGGGGGCAGGCAGGCCAGGCCGCUGAGAGGCUCUGGGUGGCGUAGCAGGGGCAGGGGCGGCGUGUGGGGAAGCUGGGAGGAAGCACCCACAGCUGGAAGCACCCACAGACAUUUCAGUUGCCGCACAACUGGGGUGGGGAGAGGGCAAGAUGCAAUAAUACCGUAAGAGAUUAGAUUGGAAAAUUUUCAGAUAGGAUUGAUGGAAGUAAAAAAAAAAUGAAUAAGAUGUAAAAGUAUGUUUAAUUACUGUUGAAAAUGAUAUGUUAAAACACACACACACACACACACACACACACACACACACACACAUCCUGAAGCUGAGGCUGCAAUACUUUGGCCACCUCAUGAGAAGAGAAGACUCCCUGGAAAAGACCCUGAUGUUGGGAAAGAUGGAGGGCACAAGGAGAAGGGGACGACAGAGGACGAGAUGGUUGGACAGUGUUCUUGAAGAUGCCAGCAAGAGUUUGACCAAACUGCGGGAGGCAGUGGAAGACUGGAGUGCCUGGCGUGCUCUGGUCCAUGGGGUCACGAAGAGUCAGACACGACUAAACGACUAAACAACAACAAUAACACACACAGAUAUAUGAUGCAAUAAUAUCGUGCCUUUCAAAGGUGUGUACAUAGCCCCAGCAAAGGUGCAAGAUCCUGCUGGUGGGUAAGUAUGUAUUGGAACAGGGUUCAGCAAACUUUCAGCAGGGGGUCGGUCCAUUGUCCCUCAGACCUUGUGGGGGGCCGGACUAUAUUCUGGGGGGGGGGAAAUGAACGAAUUCCUAUGCCCCACAAAUAACUCAUAGAUGCAUUUUAAAUAAAAGCACACAUUCAACUCAUGUAAAAACACGCUGAUUCCCAGACCAUCCGCAGGCCAGAUUUAGAAGGUGAUUGGGCCAGAUCCAGCCCCCCCCCCGGGCCUUAGUUUGCCUAUUCAUGUAUUGGAAAGUAUAUGCUUGAGGGUUUCCUCAAGGCAUCAAUAUUGUGGUUCUCCAUAUAACUCUACUCUGUAAAAGUUUCUGCUUACAGCAUCUACUACUAUGCUAUAAGAUCCACUGUCCUGUGUUAUCAUAUAUGGUAUGUACAGUUGUUUACGGUUUUUAUAUAAUUUUUGCUGUAAAAAUGUGAGAGAUUACAGUAUUGUAUUUAUUUGCAUUACCUGGAGUUUGUACUACUGAUGAAGCCCAAGACGGUGAAACAAGGCUAAUAUUCUGGAAAUAUUGUCUUAAGACUGUGAAAGGAUUCUGUGGAACUGCAACAACCUUUUGUGUGGAUUGCUGGACUCUAUGAACAGCCAGGUGGAAUAGACACUUUCACAUAUAUGGACCUUAUGCAUAAACUGAUUAGAG